Molecule: long non-coding RNA, 2573 nt
Filed under: Homo sapiens (human)
Lineage: Eukaryota; Metazoa; Chordata; Mammalia; Primates; Hominidae
Description: HSALNT0408611
Source: RNAcentral
GUGAUCUCAGCUCACUGCAACCUCCGCCUCCCAGGUCACAUCUGGCAGCCUCAGCUCUCUGGAUUCUUAACAGAACCAAGAAGCAAGUAAAACAAAUAAUUGAACUGGCAGCCCAAGUCAAUGUCAGAAAAGUUUAUAAACUCCAGGGUUGCAUUUUGUUCCUAGUUAUUGCCCCAGAGGCUAGUGGGGGCGGCGGGGAAAGCUUGGCACAUUUCUUGAAUGCAAGCACAAUCAGAAUUGCCAUGCAGCCUAUUUGUCCUAUCUUUGAUACAAUUCUAAUAAGCUUAGUUAUCUGAUUUAUCAGUCCCUGGUAGACUGCAAGCUAGGCAGAGAACUAGGGCAACAAGACACAGGAAAUGGGAAAUAGAAAUAGCAGUUAACUUCUUUCCUGCAAGUGUAUCCAUCUGUAGCAUUCCUUCCUCCUCUCCAGUCUCAGAGUAGGUUUUCUUUUCCUGGUUAAACUGAGGCAAACAGUUAUGUCAUCAAGGCCCAUUUAUAUCUCUUUUCCCAUUACUAAGUGACCCCAGAUUGUUAUGUAUUGAGUUCUUAAUGUCUUACGCUUUUGGAAUUCAAUCUCUUAACUUGUAGGAGAACUUGUACCAUUCAGCAUCUUCUGUCAAUUGCUAAUGGCUGUUUCCCUCAUCCUAUUUAAGUUCUUCUAACCUUAAGCUAUCCUUUCUUGUCCCUAUGUCCCCCUUCUAAUUACCUCCCUUUUGUCCUGCCUUAAUCAUUCUAAACUUCUCAAAAUGAGUAUUGUAUUUGUUACCCUGCCCAAGUUCUUGAUGUCCUAACCAAUCACUUCCCAUUCCCUCUUAAACCUGCAGCAAUUUUACUCAUAUCUCCCACCCUUCAUAUUGCUAGAGGCAAUGGACAUGUUUCAAAGCUUUCUACUAUUAUUUGCUGUCUUUCCACCUUAAUUGAAACGUUCCAUCCUUAGCUUCUCUGGCGCCAUUUUCUAUCUGCCCUUUUACAUCUUUUUCCUACUCCAUUGUCUAUCCCACAGGUAUUGGUGUUCCCAAGGGUUUUUGUCUCUGAUCCUCUUUUUAUUCUACUUCCCCUUACUGAGAAAUGUUCUUGCCCAUGUUUUAACUACCACUUAGGUUCAUAUAGCCACUUGGUUAGGACAUAGUGAUUUUUUUUUUUUUUUUGAGAUGGGUUCUCGAUAUGCUGCCCAGGCUGGUCUUGAACUCCUGGGCUCAAACAGUUCUCCCAUCUCAGCUUCCCAAGUAGCUAGGACUACAGGCGUAAGCUACCAUGCUCAACUAAGGACACAGAUAUCUUAAACUCACAUAUCUAAAACUGAGCAUCUCUCUCUUCCACGUAUCCUUUUUACCACCUGUUCCAUAUAACUACAAAAAACUGAAAUGCAUAUAUUCUUCCUCUUUUAUAGAAUGGCACCAGCAUCUACAUAAUCAGUCAAGUGUGGAAUUGGAAACCAUUCUAUUAUCUCCUCCUCGUACACCCCCUACAUCCGUUUGGUCAAUUUUGCCUUCUAAUUUGAUCUCCAGUCUGUGCCUUCUGCUUUUCUUCUGCACUUCAUUAAUCCAGCUCAGGACAAUAUUAUUGGUUACCUGGACUCUAGUGAUAAAGAUAUGUCCUACCUUACUACCUCCAUCUGCCAUAACUUCUGAAAUGAAAUCCUGCUUAAUAUCCUGCUGCUGAAUUUUUUUUUCAUCAGGAUAAGGCCAGACUACCUAAGAGCAUAUAGUACCUUUGUGACCUGGGUCCCUGCACACUUUUUCUGCCUUCUAUCCAGCCAAAAAUACCUUUUGAUCCAUUGUUCUAGCUCUGCCAACCUGCUUGCGUUUCCCUUGAAGUGCUAUGUCUUUUUACUCUCCAUAUUUUUGUCUGUGCUAUUUCUUAUACCUGGAAUGCCCUUCCCCCAUUACUUGCAUCAUUAAUUCCUAUUCAUUCUUAAAAUCUCAGCUCAAGUGUCACCUUUUCAAAGUGUGUCUUAUGUAAUAAGGCUGAACUUGAGUGUGCCUCUGAAAUUUUUCCAUGGCACUUUGUGUUGCCUACUCCUACCACAACACAUUUUGAAAUUAUAACCACUGAUUUUUCUUGUCUGACUCUAACACUAGACUGAGCAUCUUGAGGCAAACAGUUAUGUCAUCAGGGCCCACUUAUAUCUCUUAUAUCUCUUUUCCCAUUAGUAAAUGAUCCCAGAUUGUAAUGUAUUGAGUUCUUAUGUCUGCUUUGUAUAGUUGUUCAUUCAGUGAGUUAAUACUUAACAGCAAUAUUUGAAGCAUUGUGCUUCUUCGACAUCAUAACAGUUUGCCUCUGAAAGCUCACGGCCUGAUCAUCAAGGCAAGGCUAAUUAGAUUUGUUCAUUAUGUUCUGUUUAAGAAAUCUGGGAACUAUGUGACCAUGUUAUACAUUUUUCAUCCAAAAUGACUGCAUUUUUACUUGGUACUUAAAAGUGUAUUAUUUGGUUAUUUGGAAAAUCACUUUUGUGGAACAUCUCAUUUGCUGAUAAUGAAAUGCCAAUGACUUGUUACCUUGGUAUAAAAAACCAAAAUAUGCGUGUUAGGAAGUGCUGUCAUUUUACUCAAAAUACACAGAUUUGAAAGUUU